This is a long non-coding RNA of Homo sapiens (human), 970 nucleotides long. RefSeq lists it as uncharacterized. The record is from RefSeq and is a predicted model, not a curated record. NCBI's taxonomy places the organism in Eukaryota, Metazoa, Chordata, Mammalia, Primates, Hominidae. The transcript is spliced from 4 exons.
AGGCUCCAGAUUGUUCUACUCCUGAUGUCAGGAGGAAGCUGAUUUACCUUUGGAAUGAGAUAACCUCUGGGAUCCCUGAACAGUUAAAGGGCAGACGGAAAUAAGGCUUGGCAAUGAAGAUGGACAAGGAACAUAUGCCAGUGCACAUCUAUUAUAAGCCAUUUAUCCCAGACUGUGAUGCAAGUGUGCUUAAGUCUGAAAUGCAAGUGACUCGUACUUACAGGCAAAAUACAUUCCAGCUGAGGAAAAAAGGAUUUUUGUUGCUGAUUUAAUGGAGUGACAGCCUUUCAGAAGUCUUUAAAUUCACCAUUUUCACUGAUGUCACCCUGUUACCAGAAAGGAGUCCUAAUUCUGACCCCAAGAGAAGGUCCUUAAAUCUCGUGCAAGAAAGAUUUCAGGAUUCAAAGAAUUAGCUGGACUAUGUCUCCAGGUGGAUGACUCUAUGGAAACUUUGAGCUGUAUGGAACAACCUCCUGAUCAUCCAUUUACCUUGCUUUGGUACAUUAGGACUUUAAUAGAAACUGCCUAAUGUGCAGGUAAGUCAGCAAGAAAUGAAAUAUGGGUCAUUAUUCAGUGGUACCAAUUGAGCAGAGCAGCCAAAUGUAAAUCAUUGAGAAAUGGGAAUGGUUCAUCCCGUUUUGCAAUUUGAAGUAAGUCUAAAGACUUCAUGUGGCAGAGAGGUCCCAGGGUUCACUUUGGAAAGCUGAGCAGCAAGUUUCUCUCUUCUAAGGGUCCAUCUGAUACUAACAAUUCUAAUCUCUGGCAAAUGGAAGCACAGACUGUAUUUUUCCCUAUGCUCUCUAAUUGUCUAACAAUAACCUUCAUGUACAUAUGUUAUACUAUGUGACUUUCAGUUUGUCACUUGGGUUUUCCAAACCUCACUUAAUUCAUAAGACAAAAAUUACAGCUACUCUGGCUACUCGGCAUGAUUCUCUUUUAGCACUGAAUAAACUAUGCAACAGAACUUGGA